This 229-nucleotide long non-coding RNA is filed under the name Elaeis guineensis (African oil palm). RNAcentral describes it as "long non-coding RNA (EGUI_LNC005950)". The record is from RNAcentral. Lineage: Eukaryota; Viridiplantae; Streptophyta; Magnoliopsida; Arecales; Arecaceae.
CAUGCUAUUUUAUACUAUUGUACCUUCUAGAUCUUCUUACAUGUGGAACUUGACGAAGAAAUGCAUGUUAUUCAUCACGGCGAGCAUAGAAGAAUCUUUGUGGUUGAAAAUAAGUGCAUUUUAGUUACACCAUGCGCACCAGAAAAGUGUGGCAAUUACAAUAUCCUACAUGAUAGAUCUUUUUCUCUCUCUCUCUUCUUGUUCUUCCAUUAAGACAAAAGUGACUUCA